Musa acuminata subsp. malaccensis (wild Malaysian banana) is the source of this 556-nucleotide non-coding RNA. The record is from RefSeq and is a predicted model, not a curated record. NCBI's taxonomy places the organism in Eukaryota, Viridiplantae, Streptophyta, Magnoliopsida, Zingiberales, Musaceae.
CUCUCUCUCUCUCUCUCUCUCGUCUUUAACGUAUCAUGGAGUUUGUUGCCUUGUUUCUCUGUCGUGUUUGUAGGGUUUUCCGGCUCUUGUUUCUAUUACUCCUUUUCGCAGACACCAACGUAAUCCUUUGAAAGAGUAGCCGAGAAAUGUCAGAUUAGUCACUAGCUAGUGCGAUUUCAUCUCGUUGAUGGGGCAAAGGAGUCGGUCGCUUUUGGCACUGGUGCGCCAUUCCUGAUGCUUUGGGCUAGAAAAAGAAGGGGCAACUGGUGUCGAUCACCUGAAGCUGAUGGUUGUCUUUGGAUUCAACCUUGGGAAGAACACUAUCCUGGAAAACGGUGAAGUUGAGAAGUCUCGUCGGGAAGGAUGGGAACAGAGUGAACCUACUGCUAUGGACAAGAGCAGAAAAACGAAUAAAGGCAAAUGAAAACUGCUGGACCCAGUUCAUUCACUCCGGAUGAGUCUGAUGCAUGGGGCAAAUUGAAGUCUAAUGGGAAUUCUGCUGCGUGCGAAUCAGGAAGUCAUGCUGACAAAAUUGAGUGGCCUUACUAUAUAAAAA